UUUAUAUAUAAAUCUGCUACAUUUAAUAUAAAUUAUUAUAUAUAUAUCACUAAUCAGAAACGUAUCUACCAAUGCUGACAGAAAAAUAGAAAUGAGCAAUAAUCAAUUUUUUGCACAGACUUAUCUGUUUCUGAUAGGCCACGGUUUGUACUUGCGAUCGUUAAUGAACGAUACGAAGGUAGGUGCGUAAAUCGCUUGAUAAAGAUUUUCUUAUCCGUUGGUACGGUCGAGAAUAUUUUCAGUAUCGGUUUCCCUUUGCUGACAGAUAGCAGAAACACGGAUUUUGCUUACGAAAAAUAUUACCGUCGAGUAUUGUGCGUUUAACGAAAACAAAAAAAGAAAAGAAAAAUCCGUGCAUGUCGUAUGAACAAUCGCGUAGACGACAGUAAAGAACCGCUGCAAGAGGAUCAACGAUAGAACGAUCGAAUUGAUUUCGAUCUUAGCAGACAAUAUUGUGCUGUAGCGAAUAUCUUUACUUGAUUAGAGAGAAAAGAUACAAUGAAUAUACGAUAAUUAGUUAGCAUGUUUUUUAUCGGAGUGUAAGUGUAAAAAUAAAGAAGAAAAAGAACAAUC
Pogonomyrmex barbatus (red harvester ant) is the source of this 573-nucleotide long non-coding RNA. RefSeq lists it as uncharacterized. The record is from RefSeq and is a predicted model, not a curated record. NCBI's taxonomy places the organism in Eukaryota, Metazoa, Arthropoda, Insecta, Hymenoptera, Formicidae.